CCCAAAUGGGGCAAGCAGAGGGUAGAGAGUGGUGAAGGUCAGGGGAGAGUUCAUGAAAGACAUCAAGGCCGAGCUGGAAAUUUAAGCCUGAUCAGUAGGAGUUAGUCUCAUUGAGAAAACUGAAGGAACCAUGCAAGGGCAUUUGGGGCCAAGAAAACAACAAGUAGAAAGUUUCUCACAAGUAUACAGUGGAAUUUUCCAGAGGCUCCAUGACGACCUAUGAUAUCAAACCAGCUUGAAUGCAGAAGCUGAUAGAGAAUCUAGUUGUCUCCUACUAAGCCAGACAUUAAAAAGAUUUGCAAAGCAAUACCCUCUGUUGUUUAAUCAGUUCUCCUUUGAAGAAUGGUCAUUUUAAUAAAAAAAAAAUUGUGUUGAUGUUAA
Ictidomys tridecemlineatus (thirteen-lined ground squirrel) is the source of this 381-nucleotide long non-coding RNA. RefSeq lists it as uncharacterized. Lineage: Eukaryota; Metazoa; Chordata; Mammalia; Rodentia; Sciuridae. The record is from RefSeq and is a predicted model, not a curated record.